RNAcentral lists this ribosomal RNA (541 nucleotides) under uncultured bacterium. Its description in RNAcentral is "bacterial SSU rRNA". It matches the Rfam family "Bacterial small subunit ribosomal RNA", at positions 776 to 1314 of the family's 1533-position model. The record is from RNAcentral.
AAAUAGAUACCCCAGGUAGUCCAUGCCGUAAACGUUGGGCACUAGGUGUGGGGCUCAUUCCACGAGUUCCGUGCCGCAGCAAACGCAUUAAGUGCCCCGCCUGGGGAGUACGGCCGCAAGGCUAAAACUCAAAGAAAUUGACGGGGGCCCGCACAAGCGGCGGAGCAUGCGGAUUAAUUCGAUGCAACGCGAAGAACCUUACCAAGGCUUGACAUACACCGGAAAAGUGCAGAGAUGUGCUCCCCGUAAGGUCGGUGUACAGGUGGUGCAUGGUUGUCGUCAGCUCGUGUCGUGAGAUGUUGGGUUAAGUCCCGCAACGAGCGCAACCCUCGUCCUAUGUUGCCAGCACGUGAUGGUGGGGACUCAUAGGAGACUGCCGGGGUCAACUCGGAGGAAGGUGGGGAUGACGUCAAAUCAUCAUGCCCCUUAGGUCUUGGGCUUCACGCAUGCUACAAUGGCCGGUACAAAGGGGCUGCGAUACCGCGAGGUGGAGCGAAUCCCAAAAAGCCGGUCUCAGUUCGGAUUGGGGUCCGCAACUCCG